Molecule: ribosomal RNA, 459 nt
Filed under: uncultured bacterium
Lineage: Bacteria
Description: partial 16S ribosomal RNA
Rfam family: Bacterial small subunit ribosomal RNA
Source: RNAcentral
CCUACGGGUGGCAGCAGUCGGGAAUAUUGCGCAAUGGAGGAAACUCUGACGCAGUGACGCCGCGUGCAGGAAGAAGGUUUUCGGAUUGUAAACUGCUUUUGUAUUAGGGUAAACACCCCUACGUGUAGGGGCUUGAAAGUAUAAUACGAAUAAGGAUCGGCUAACUCCGUGCCAGCAGCCGCGGUAAUACGGAGGAUCCAAGCGUUAUCCGGAUUUAUUGGGUUUAAAGGGUGCGUAGGCGGUUUGAUAAGUUAGAGGUGAAAUACCGGUGCUCAACACCGGAACUGCCUCUAAUACUGUUGAACUAGAGAGUAGUUGCGGUAGGCGGAAUGUAUGGUGUAGCGGUGAAAUGCUUAGAGAUCAUACAGAACACCGAUUGCGAAGGCAGCUUACCAAACUAUAUCUGACGUUGAGGCACGAAAGCGUGGGUAGCAAACAGGAUUAGAUACCCUUGUAGUC